GUAGUCGUGGCCGAGUGGUUAAGGCGACAGACUUGAAAUGUGUUGGGAUAUUCCAGCGCAGGUUUAGAUCCUGCCGACUGCG
RNAcentral lists this transfer RNA (82 nucleotides) under Paramuricea clavata. It matches the Rfam family "tRNA". Rfam says of the family: Transfer RNA (tRNA) molecules are approximately 80 nucleotides in length. Their secondary structure includes four short double-helical elements and three loops (D, anti-codon, and T loops). Further hydrogen bonds mediate the characteristic L-shaped molecular structure. tRNAs have two regions of fundamental functional importance: the anti-codon, which is responsible for specific mRNA codon recognition, and the 3' end, to which the tRNAs corresponding amino acid is attached (by aminoacyl-tRNA synthetases). tRNAs cope with the degeneracy of the genetic code in two manners: having more than one tRNA (with a specific anti-codon) for a particular amino acid; and 'wobble' base-pairing, i.e. permitting non-standard base-pairing at the 3rd anti-codon position. The record is from Rfam by way of RNAcentral. Lineage: Eukaryota; Metazoa; Cnidaria; Anthozoa; Malacalcyonacea; Plexauridae.